Molecule: ribosomal RNA, 253 nt
Filed under: uncultured bacterium
Lineage: Bacteria
Description: partial 16S ribosomal RNA
Rfam family: Bacterial small subunit ribosomal RNA
Source: RNAcentral
GACGUAGGGCGCGAGCGUUGUCCGGAUUUAUUGGGCGUAAAGAGCUCGUAGGCGGCUUGUUGCGUCGUCCGUGAAAACCUGUGGCUCAACCACAGGCUUGCGGUCGAUACGGGCGGGCUGGAGUUCGGUAGGGGAGACUGGAAUUCCUGGUGUAGCGGUGAAAUGCGCAGAUAUCAGGAGGAACACCGGUGGCGAAGGCGGGUCUCUGGGCCGAUACUGACGCUGAGGAGCGAAAGCGUGGGGAGCGAACAGG